CCUCGGAGGGAUCAUUACCGAGUUUACAACUCCCAAACCCAAUGUGAACGUUACCAAUCUGUUGCCUCGGCGGGAUUCUCUGCCCCGGGCGCGUCGCAGCCCCGGAUCCCAUGGCGCCCGCCGGAGGACCAACUCAAACUCUUUUUUCUCUCCGUCGCGGCCUACGUCGCGGCUCUGUUUUAUUUUUGCUCUGAGCCUUUCUCGGCGACCCUAGCGGGCGUCUCGAAAAUGAAUCAAAACUUUCAACAACGGAUCUCUUGGUUCUGGCAUCGAUGAAGAACGCAGCGAAAUGCGAUAAGUAAUGUGAAUUGCAGAAUUCAGUGAAUCAUCGAAUCUUUGAACGCACAUUGCGCCCGCCAGUAUUCUGGCGGGCAUGCCUGUCCGAGCGUCAUUUCAACCCUCGAACCCCUCCGGGGGGUCGGCGUUGGGGAUCGGCCCCUCACCGGGCCGCCCCCGAAAUACAGUGGCGGUCUCGCCGCAGCCUCUCCUGCGCAGUAGUUUGCACACUCGCACCGGGAGCGCGGCGCGGCCACAGCCGUAAAACACCCCAAACUCUGAAAUGUUGACCUCGGAUCAGGUAGGAAUACCCGCUGAACUUAAGCAUAUC
RNAcentral lists this ribosomal RNA (607 nucleotides) under Trichoderma citrinoviride. RNAcentral's name for it is "eukaryotic LSU rRNA". The stretch from base 238 to 391 matches the Rfam family "5.8S ribosomal RNA". The record is from RNAcentral. Lineage: Eukaryota; Fungi; Ascomycota; Sordariomycetes; Hypocreales; Hypocreaceae.